AACGAACGCUGGCGGCAGGCCUAACACAUGCAAGUCGAGCGAGGACUUCGGUCCUAGCGGCGGACGGGUUAGUAACGCGUGGGAACGUGCCCUUUGCUUCGGAAUAGCCCUGGGACACUGGGAGUAAUACCGGAUGAGCCCUUUGGGGGAAAGAUUUAUCGGCGAAGGAUCGGCCCGCGUUGGAUUAGGUAGUUGGUGGGGUAAUGGCCUACCAAGCCGACGAUCCAUAGCUGGUUUGAGAGGAUGAUCAGCCACACUGGGACUGAGACACGGCCCAGACUCCUACGGGAGGCAGCAGUGGGGAAUCUUAGACAAUGGGGGAAACCCUGAUCUAGCCAUGCCGCGUGAGCGAUGAAGGCCUUAGGGUUGUAAAGCUCUUUCAGCUGGGAAGAUAAUGACGGUACCAGCAGAAGAAGCCCCGGCUAACUCCGUG
This 433-nucleotide ribosomal RNA is filed under the name uncultured bacterium. Its description in RNAcentral is "partial 16S ribosomal RNA". It matches the Rfam family "Bacterial small subunit ribosomal RNA", at positions 29 to 507 of the family's 1533-position model. The record is from RNAcentral.